This is a transfer RNA of 74 nucleotides. It matches the Rfam family "tRNA". Rfam says of the family: Transfer RNA (tRNA) molecules are approximately 80 nucleotides in length. Their secondary structure includes four short double-helical elements and three loops (D, anti-codon, and T loops). Further hydrogen bonds mediate the characteristic L-shaped molecular structure. tRNAs have two regions of fundamental functional importance: the anti-codon, which is responsible for specific mRNA codon recognition, and the 3' end, to which the tRNAs corresponding amino acid is attached (by aminoacyl-tRNA synthetases). tRNAs cope with the degeneracy of the genetic code in two manners: having more than one tRNA (with a specific anti-codon) for a particular amino acid; and 'wobble' base-pairing, i.e. permitting non-standard base-pairing at the 3rd anti-codon position. The record is from Rfam.
AUGCUUAUAGCUUAAUAGGAUAAAGCCGUAGAUUGCGGAUCUAUUAGAUGAAAGUUCAAAUCUUUCUAAGCAUA